Non-coding RNA from Triticum urartu, 135 nucleotides. The record is from Rfam. NCBI's taxonomy places the organism in Eukaryota, Viridiplantae, Streptophyta, Magnoliopsida, Poales, Poaceae.
AAAGCACUCCCUCCGUCCCAAAAUUCUUGUCUUAGAUUUGUCUACAUACGGAUGUAUCAAGUCACAUUUUAGUAUUAGAUACAUCCGUAUCUAGACAAAUCUAAGACAAGAAAUUUGGGACAGAGGGACUAGUUC